RNAcentral lists this transfer RNA (69 nucleotides) under Ictidomys tridecemlineatus (thirteen-lined ground squirrel). RNAcentral's name for it is "Spermophilus tridecemlineatus (thirteen-lined ground squirrel) tRNA". It matches the Rfam family "tRNA". From Rfam's summary of the family: Transfer RNA (tRNA) molecules are approximately 80 nucleotides in length. Their secondary structure includes four short double-helical elements and three loops (D, anti-codon, and T loops). Lineage: Eukaryota; Metazoa; Chordata; Mammalia; Rodentia; Sciuridae. The record is from Rfam by way of RNAcentral.
GGGGUUGUGGCUCAGUGGCCGAGCGCUUGCCUUGUAUGUAUGAGGCCAUGGGUUCAAUCCUCAGCACCA